AGAGUUUGAUCAUGGCUCAGGACGAACGCUGGCGGCGCGCCUAACACAUGCAAGUCGAGCGAGAACCGGGGCUUCGGUCCCGGGGACAGCGGCGAACGGGUGCGUAACACGUGAGCAACCUGCCCCGAAGACCGGGACAACCCGAGGAAACUCGGACUAAUACCGGAUGUCCUCACCGGAUCGCAUGGUCUGGUGAGGAAAUGGAUUCCGCUUCGGGAUGGGCUCGCGGUCUAUCAGCUUGUUGGUGGGGUAACGGCCUACCAAGGCGACGACGGAUAGCUGGUCUGAGAGGACGAUCAGCCACACUGGGACUGAGACACGGCCCAGACUCCUACGGGAGGCAGCAGUGGGGAAUCUUGCGCAAUGGGGGAAACCCUGACGCAGCGACGCCGCGUGCGGGAUGAAGGCCUUCGGGUUGUAAACCGCUUUCAGCAGGGACGAAAUUGACGGUACCUGCAGAAGAAGGCCCGGCCAACUACGUGCCAGCAGCCGCGGUAAUACGUAGGGGCCUAGCGUUGUCCGGAAUUAUUGGGCGUAAAGAGCUCGUAGGCGGUUCGGCAAGUCGGAUGUGAAAUCUCCACGCUUAACGUGGAGGGGCCAUUCGAAACUGCUGUGACUCGAGUCCGGUAGGGGAGUGUGGAAUUCCCGGUGUAGCGGUGAAAUGCGCAGAUAUCGGGAGGAACACCAGUAGCGAAGGCGGCACUCUGGGCCGGUACUGACGCUGAGGAGCGAAAGCGUGGGGAGCGAACAGGAUUAGAUACCCUAGUAGUCC
Molecule: ribosomal RNA, 772 nt
Filed under: uncultured bacterium
Lineage: Bacteria
Description: bacterial SSU rRNA
Rfam family: Bacterial small subunit ribosomal RNA
Source: RNAcentral